UACGAAGGGAGCUAGCGUUGUUCGGAAUCACUGGGCGUAAAGCGCACGUAGGCGGAUGUGUCAGUCAGGGGUGAAAUCCCGGAGCUCAACUUCGGAACUGCCUUUGAUACAGCACAUCUGGAGUCCGGAAGAGGUGGGUGGAAUUCCUAGUGUAGAGGUGAAAUUCGUAGAUAUUAGGAAGAACACCGGUGGCGAAGGCGGCCCACUGGUCCGGUACUGACGCUGAGGUGCGAAAGCGUGGGGAGCAAUCAGG
This 253-nucleotide ribosomal RNA is filed under the name uncultured bacterium. RNAcentral's name for it is "partial 16S ribosomal RNA". It matches the Rfam family "Bacterial small subunit ribosomal RNA", at positions 524 to 776 of the family's 1533-position model. The record is from RNAcentral.